CCUACGGGUGGCAGCAGUGGGGGAUAUUGCACAAUGGGGGAAACCCUGAUGCAGCGACGCCGCGUGAGUGAAGAAGUAUUUCGGUAUGUAAAGCUCUAUCAGCAGGGAAGAAAAAAGACGGUACCUGACUAAGAAGCCCCGGCUAACUACGUGCCAGCAGCCGCGGUAAUACGUAGGGGGCAAGCGUUAUCCGGAUUUAUUGGGUGUAAAGGGAGCGUAGACGGCAAUACAAGUCGGAAGUGAAAUACCCGGGCUCAACCUGAGAACUGCUUUGGAAACUGUAUGGCUAGAGUGCUGGAGAGGUAAGCGGAAUUCGUAGUGUAGCGGUGAAAUGCGUAGAUAUUACGAAGAACACCGGUUGCGAAGGCAGCUUACUAAACAGCAACUGACAUUGAGGCUCGAAAGCGUGGGUAUCAAACAGGAUUAGAUACCCUAGUAGUC
RNAcentral lists this ribosomal RNA (441 nucleotides) under uncultured bacterium. RNAcentral's name for it is "partial 16S ribosomal RNA". It matches the Rfam family "Bacterial small subunit ribosomal RNA", at positions 338 to 795 of the family's 1533-position model. The record is from RNAcentral.